Molecule: small RNA, 728 nt
Filed under: Vigna angularis var. angularis
Lineage: Eukaryota; Viridiplantae; Streptophyta; Magnoliopsida; Fabales; Fabaceae
Description: Non-protein coding transcript
Source: RNAcentral
GUUGACACGAAAAUAAUAUACUUUUCAGUAACAAUAGGCUCCAGGACCAUAAUGACCGAACCUUGUGCAGUGAGAAUUUGGUUGAUGAGGCUUCAAAGAGAAAGAGUGGAGACAAUUUGUCUGCAGUUGUGAUUUGCUUCCAGCAGCAAUCUCCUCGCAACAUGGUGGCCCCUCGGUCUAGAGUGCACUGGAGCUUCUCUACUUAAGGUUUGAAGGAGUUGCAGAGUUUCCUUGAUAACUUGGGAUCUUGUGGAACUGUGUAUCAUGCUUUGUGGUAUGGAUCGGUUGUUGAGUAUCGUGGUGUGAAUGUAAGGCGUAGUGUUACUGAUCUGAUAUGAAGGAAGCAAAAUAUCGUUCGAAAGGCAAAGAUUGCUAUUUAGGUACUUCUUGGUCUUGAUGUACUUACAGGUUCAUCAGUGGCUGUUUUGGUCUUGGAGUUGUUGGGUUAGCUGUAGCAACUUUAUAGAUUAUUUGAAAGGUUGAUCUUUGGAGGUUACAUAGAUUAUUUAACUACGAGGCAAUUUAAAGGAAGUUUUUGGAAAAGUGGGUGAUAAGAGACUGGUUCCAGGUUAUUGACAUGGCUGCAUUUGAGCUUGAUCUACUAGAAGAAUAUGAUUCACGCUUUAAGAAGUUGAGUCUAGGUGAUAAAUUGCAUAUCAAAUUCUCCUAGUGAUUAAUUGUUAGAAAGACUAAGUUAUUGAAUUAUAGACAAUGUAAUUGUGAAUUUU